UACGUAGGUGGCAAGCGUUGUCCGGAUUUACUGGGCGUAAAGGAUGCGUAGGUGGAUAUUUAAGUCAGAUGUGAAAUACCCGAGCUUAACUUGGGAACUGCAUUUGAAACUGAAUAUCUAGAGUGCAGGAGAGGUAAGUGGAAUUCCUAGUGUAGCGGUGAAAUGCGUAGAGAUUAGGAAGAACACCAGUGGCGAAGGCGACUUACUGGACUGUAACUGACACUGAGGCAUGAAAGCGUGGGGAGCAAACAGG
Molecule: ribosomal RNA, 253 nt
Filed under: uncultured bacterium
Lineage: Bacteria
Description: partial 16S ribosomal RNA
Rfam family: Bacterial small subunit ribosomal RNA
Source: RNAcentral